Molecule: transfer RNA, 65 nt
Filed under: Choaspes benjaminii (Indian awkling)
Lineage: Eukaryota; Metazoa; Arthropoda; Insecta; Lepidoptera; Hesperiidae
Also listed under: 1 other name
Description: tRNA-Asp
Source: RNAcentral
AAAGAAUUAGUUAAAAUAUAACAUAAAUAUGUCAAAUUUAAAUUAUUAUAAUAUAAUAUUCUUUU